AAAACCACUAACGCUCUUUUGCUUGGUCAUGGAAGAAGAGUUUGCUUGCAAUCUCUCCUCCGAAAUUCAAAGGCGGAAAGUCUCAGAGCCCCGGCGUAGUAAUAAUAUUUCGCUUGGAACUUGAAAUGAUCCUGCCCUUAACCCCCAAUUUAUCUA
RNAcentral lists this unclassified non-coding RNA (156 nucleotides) under Byssonectria fusispora. Its description in RNAcentral is "partial internal transcribed spacer 2". The record is from RNAcentral. Lineage: Eukaryota; Fungi; Ascomycota; Pezizomycetes; Pezizales; Pyronemataceae.